This 468-nucleotide ribosomal RNA is filed under the name uncultured bacterium. Its description in RNAcentral is "partial 16S ribosomal RNA". It matches the Rfam family "Bacterial small subunit ribosomal RNA", at positions 28 to 507 of the family's 1533-position model. The record is from RNAcentral.
GACGAACGCUGGCGGCGUGCUUAACACAUGCAAGUCGAACGGUAAGGCCCUGCUUUUGUGGGGUGCUCGAGUGGCGAACGGGUGAGUAACACGUGAGUAACCUGCCCUUGACUUUGGGAUAACUUCAGGAAACUGGGGCUAAUACCGGAUAGGAGCUCCUGCGGCAUGGUGGGGGUUGGAAAGUUUCGGCGGUUGGGGAUGGACGCGCGGCUUGUCAGCCUGUUGGUGGGGUAGUGGCUUACCAAGGCUUUGACGGGUAGCCGGCCUGAGAGGGUGACCGGCCACAUUGGGACUGAGAUACGGCCCAGACUCCUGCGGGAGGCAGCAGUGGGGAAUAUUGCACAAUGGGCGGAAGCCUGAUGCAGCAACGCCGCGUGCGGGAUGACGGCCUUCGGGUUGUAAACCGCUUUCGCCUGUGACGAAGCGUGAGUGACGGUAAUGGGUAAAGAAGCACCGGCUAACUACGUG